RNAcentral lists this long non-coding RNA (774 nucleotides) under Cyanistes caeruleus (blue tit). Its description in RNAcentral is "lncRNA (ENSCCEG00000019679.1)". The record is from RNAcentral. Lineage: Eukaryota; Metazoa; Chordata; Aves; Passeriformes; Paridae.
GUGCUGCCAGCAUGUGGAGCUGAGAGCAGUGAAAGUCCAAAGGACUGGGGCACCAGAGGAGGUCACCAGGAGCUGUCAUGACUGCAGGACAUAUAUAAGCCCUGCAGGAAAGAGAAAGGGAGAAUGAUUCAUUGGUUGAUGCAAGCCUCUGUAGUAUUUAGCCUCUGGACCAGCUCUCUUGUUCUGCAGCACAGGUUCAUCUCAUUUGUGCUGCAGUUCUUAGUCACCCCAUCCAGCAUGGACAAAAAGGCUGCACAGCAUUCAGGUAUGAAGAACACUUGUCCAUUCGUAAUUGAAACUAUUCAAGAUGCAUGGGCCUGAAAGGGCAUUAUAAGUUUCUCAUGCUCUCUGGUGUAGUAAAGAUCUUGUCUUCUAGCAAACAUUAUGAAUGAAAGAUUUUCUUACAAGGAGAGAUGGAGUAGACUGAAUCAAGCCUCUGUCAAGAACCACUUCUGCAAUACUGAAUUAACAUACCCAAGACCGGCACAUCAGGAAGAUAGCCUUCUACCAAGAAUAGUGUGGAGAUACACUUUGUUCACAGAAGGAAACAUCAUGAGACUCAGACAGAUACAGUGCAUCCUCCGAUUGCAGAGAUGUUGCUGCUCUCUGAGCACUGCACACUCUGUGUUCAUGACUGAUGAAAAUAAUGCCCAGUUUUGGGGGAGAUUUGUGUUAUGGGAGACAGUAACAGCUGCUCUAAUAGGGUGGCUUAUCACUUUCUUGUGGAGACAGGUACAGCUUCUGUUCUCUUUUGCACCCUCAAAUCUGGUAUAA